RNAcentral lists this ribosomal RNA (429 nucleotides) under Actinomycetes bacterium. RNAcentral describes it as "Actinobacteria bacterium partial 16S ribosomal RNA". It matches the Rfam family "Bacterial small subunit ribosomal RNA", at positions 355 to 776 of the family's 1533-position model. Lineage: Bacteria; Bacillati; Actinomycetota; Actinomycetes. The record is from RNAcentral.
UAGGGAAUCUUCCGCAAUGGGCGAAAGCCUGACGGAGCAACGCCGCGUGAGUGAUGAAGGUCUUCGGAUCGUAAAACUCUGUUAUUAGGGAAGAACAAAUGUGUAAGUAACUAUGCACGUCUUGACGGUACCUAAUCAGAAAGCCACGGCUAACUACGUGCCAGCAGCCGCGGUAAUACGUAGGUGGCAAGCGUUAUCCGGAAUUAUUGGGCGUAAAGCGCGCGUAGGCGGUUUUUUAAGUCUGAUGUGAAAGCCCACGGCUCAACCGUGGAGGGUCAUUGGAAACUGGAAAACUUGAGUGCAGAAGAGGAAAGUGGAAUUCCAUGUGUAGCGGUGAAAUGCGGAGAGAUAUGGAGGAACACCAGUGGCGAAGGCGACUUUCUGGUCUGUAACUGACGCUGAUGUGCGAAAGCGUGGGGAUCAAACAGG